Molecule: ribosomal RNA, 497 nt
Filed under: uncultured bacterium
Lineage: Bacteria
Description: partial 16S ribosomal RNA
Rfam family: Bacterial small subunit ribosomal RNA
Source: RNAcentral
GAUGAACGCUGGCGGCGUGCCUAAUACAUGCAAGUCGAGCGAACGGACGAGAAGCUUGCUUCUCUGAUGUUAGCGGCGGACGGGUGAGUAACACGUGGAUAACCUACCUAUAAGACUGGGAUAACUUCGGGAAACCGUAGCUAAUACCGGAUAAUAUUUUGAACCGCAUGGUUCAAAAGUGAAAGACGGUUUUGCCGUCACUUAUAGAUGGAUCCGCGCCGCAUUAGCUAGUUGGUAAGGUAACGGCUUACCAAGGCAACGAUGCGUAGCCGACCUGAGAGGGUGAUCGGCCACACUGGAACUGAGACACGGUCCAGACUCCUACGGGAGGCAGCAGUAGGGAAUCUUCCGCAAUGGGCGAAAGCCUGACGGAGCAACGCCGCGUGAGUGAUGAAGGUCUUCGGAUCGUAAAACUCUGUUAUUAGGGAAGAACAUAUGUGUAAGUAACUAUGCACAUCUUGACGGUACCUAAUCAGAAAGCCACGGCUAACUACGUG